CAGCCGCCACGGGAAAACGGAGGGGGCUAGCGUUGUUCGGAAUUACUGGGCGUAAAGCGUACGUAGGCGGCUUUGUAAGUUAGAGGUGAAAGCCUGGUGCUCAACACCAGAACUGCCUUUAAGACUGCAUCGCUUGAACGUCGGAGAGGUGAGUGGAAUUCCGAGUGUAGAGGUGAAAUUCGUAGAUAUUCGGAAGAACACCAGUGGCGAAGGCGGCUCACUGGACGACUGUUGACGCUGAGGUACGAAAGCGUGGGGAGCAAACAGGAUUAGAUACCCCAGUAGUCCCUGUCUCUUAUAC
RNAcentral lists this ribosomal RNA (301 nucleotides) under uncultured bacterium. RNAcentral's name for it is "partial 16S ribosomal RNA". It matches the Rfam family "Bacterial small subunit ribosomal RNA", at positions 509 to 807 of the family's 1533-position model. The record is from RNAcentral.